Molecule: ribosomal RNA, 278 nt
Filed under: uncultured bacterium
Lineage: Bacteria
Description: partial 16S ribosomal RNA
Rfam family: Bacterial small subunit ribosomal RNA
Source: RNAcentral
AACGAACGCUGGCGGCAGGCCUAACACAUGCAAGUCGAACGAAGCCUUAGGGCUUAGUGGCGGACGGGUUAGUAACGCGUGGGAAUAUGCCCUUGGGUACGGAACAACAGCUGGAAACGGCUGCUAAUACCGUAUGAUGUCUACGGACCAAAGAUUUAUCGCCCAAGGAUUAGCCCGCGUUGGAUUAGAUAGUUGGUGGGGUAACGGCUUACCAAGUCUACGAUCCAUAGCUGGUCUGAGAGGAUGAACGGCCACAAGGGGACCGAGACACGGCCCUU